UACAGAGGGUGCGAGCGUUGUCCGGAAUCACUGGGCGUAAAGGGCGCGUAGGCGGUUCGUACAGUCAGACGUGAAAUUCCCGGGCUCAACCUGGGGGCUGCGUUUGAUACGUGCGGGCUUGAGUUCGGAAGAGGGUCGUGGAAUUCCCAGUGUAGAGGUGAAAUUCGUAGAUAUUGGGAAGAACACCGGUGGCGAAGGCGGCGACCUGGUCCGAUACUGACGCUGAGGCGCGAAAGCGUGGGGAGCAAACAGG
This 253-nucleotide ribosomal RNA is filed under the name uncultured bacterium. RNAcentral's name for it is "partial 16S ribosomal RNA". It matches the Rfam family "Bacterial small subunit ribosomal RNA", at positions 524 to 776 of the family's 1533-position model. The record is from RNAcentral.